Molecule: ribosomal RNA, 252 nt
Filed under: Candidatus Jorgensenbacteria bacterium
Lineage: Bacteria; Candidatus Joergenseniibacteriota
Description: partial 16S ribosomal RNA
Rfam family: Bacterial small subunit ribosomal RNA
Source: RNAcentral
AAGGCGGAGCUAAUCCCUAAAAUACGGCCUCAGUUCAGAUUGAGGGCUGCAACUCGCCCUCAUGAAGUCGGAAUCGCUAGUAAUCGCGGAUCAGCAGGCCGCGGUGAAUACGUUCUCGAGUCCUGUACUCACCGCCCGUCACACCAGGGGAGCCGGGAGAGCUUAAAGUGCGCUUUAAGCGUAUGAGAGCUAACUCGGUGACAAGGGUGAAGUCGUAACAAGGCACGCGUAGCGGAAGCUGUGCGUGGAUCA